AGCUUGCUCCACCGGAAAAAGAAGAGUGGCGAACGGGUGAGUAACACGUGGGUAACCUGCCCAUCAGAAGGGGAUAACACUUGGAAACAGGUGCUAAUACCGUAUAACAAUCAAAACCGCAUGGUUUUGAUUUGAAAGGCGCUUUCGGGUGUCGCUGAUGGAUGGACCCGCGGUGCAUUAGCUAGUUGGUGAGGUAACGGCUCACCAAGGCCACGAUGCAUAGCCGACCUGAGAGGGUGAUCGGCCACAUUGGGACUGAGACACGGCCCAAACUCCUACGGGAGGCAGCAGUAGGGAAUCUUCGGCAAUGGACGAAAGUCUGACCGAGCAACGCCGCGUGAGUGAAGAAGGUUUUCGGAUCGUAAAACUCUGUUGUUAGAGAAGAACAAGGAUGAGAGUAACUGUUCAUCCCUUGACGGUAUCUAACCAGAAAGCCACGGCUAACUACGUGCCAGCAGCCGCGGUAAUACGUAGGUGGCAAGCGUUGUCCGGAUUUAUUGGGCGUAAAGCGAGCGCAGGCGGUUUCUUAAGUCUGAUGUGAAAGCCCCCGGCUCAACCGGGGAGGGUCAUUGGAAACUGGGAGACUUGAGUGCAGAAGAGGAGAGUGGAAUUCCAUGUGUAGCGGUGAAAUGCGUAGAUAUAUGGAGGAACACCAGUGGCGAAGGCGGCUCUCUGGUCUGUAACUGACGCUGAGGCUCGAAAGCGUGGGGAGCAAACAGGAUUAGAUACCCUGGUAGUCCACGCCGUAAACGAUGAGUGCUAAGUGUUGGAGGGUUUCCGCCCUUCAGUGCUGCAGCUAACGCAUUAAGCACUCCGCCUGGGGAGUACGACCGCAAGGUUGAAACUCAAAGGAAUUGACGGGGGCCCGCACAAGCGGUGGAGCAUGUGGUUUAAUUGGAAGCAACGCGAAGACCCUUACCAGGUCUUGACAUCCUUUGACCACUCUAGAGAUAGAGCUUCCCCUUCGGGGGCAAAGUGACAGGUGGUGCAUGGUUGUCGUCAGCUCGUGUCGUGAGAUGUUGGGUUAAGUCCCGCAACGAGCGCAACCCUUAUUGUUAGUUGCCAUCAUUCAGUUGGGCACUCUAGCAAGACUGCCGGUGACAAACCGGAGGAAGGUGGGGAUGACGUCAAAUCAUCAUGCCCCUUAU
RNAcentral lists this ribosomal RNA (1148 nucleotides) under Enterococcus faecium. RNAcentral's name for it is "bacterial SSU rRNA". It matches the Rfam family "Bacterial small subunit ribosomal RNA", at positions 77 to 1205 of the family's 1533-position model. Lineage: Bacteria; Bacillati; Bacillota; Bacilli; Lactobacillales; Enterococcaceae. The record is from RNAcentral.